Molecule: ribosomal RNA, 760 nt
Filed under: uncultured crenarchaeote
Lineage: Archaea; Thermoproteati; Thermoproteota
Description: bacterial SSU rRNA
Rfam family: Archaeal small subunit ribosomal RNA
Source: RNAcentral
GCUCAGUAACACGUAGUCAACCUGCCCUGGAGACCAGGAUAACCCCGGGAAACUGGGAUUAAUACUGGAUAGGUCAUCUCAUCUGGAAGGAGAGAUGGCUUAAAGGGGUGUGUGAGCUUCUUUCAUACAUCUGCUCCAGGAUGGGACUGCGUCUGAUCAGGCUGUUGGCGGGGUAAUGGCCCACCAAACCAGUAACCAGUACGGGCCUUGAGAGAGGGGGCCCGGAGAUGGACACUGAGAGAAGGGUCCAGGUCCUACGGGGCGCAGCAGGCGCGAAACCUUCGCAAUGCGCGAAAGCGUGACGAGGUUAAUCCGAGUGGUUCCCGCUGAGGGAAUCUUUUGUCGGCUCUAAAAAGGCCGGCGAAUAAGGGGAGGGCAAGUCUGGUGUCAGCCGCCGCGGUAAUACCAGCUCCUCGAGUGGUCGGGGCGAUUAUUGGGCCUAAAGCAUCCGUAGCCGGUUCUGUAGGUCCUCUGUUAAAUCCAACGGCUUAACCGUUGGCCCGCAGAGGAUACCGCAGGACUAGGAGGCGGGAGAGGCAGACGGUACUCUACGUGUAGGGGUAAAAUCCUUUGAUCCGUAGAAGACCACCAGUGGCGAAGGCGGUCUGCCAGAACGCGCUCGACGGUGAGGGAUGAAAGCUGGGGGAGCGAACCGGAUUAGAUACCCGGGUAGUCCCAGCCGUAAACGAUGCUAGUUAGAUGAUUCCUUCGCAAAUCUCGAUCGAAGUGUCUCAGGGAAGCCGUUAAGCUCGCCGCCUGG